This 216-nucleotide ribosomal RNA is filed under the name Bacteroides fragilis. RNAcentral describes it as "partial 16S ribosomal RNA". It matches the Rfam family "Bacterial small subunit ribosomal RNA", at positions 564 to 778 of the family's 1533-position model. Lineage: Bacteria; Pseudomonadati; Bacteroidota; Bacteroidia; Bacteroidales; Bacteroidaceae. The record is from RNAcentral.
UAGGGAGCGUAGGUGGACUGGUAAGUCAGUUGUGAAAGUUUGCGGCUCAACCGUAAAAUUGCAGUUGAUACUGUCAGUCUUGAGUACAGUAGAGGUGGGCGGAAUUCGUGGUGUAGCGGUGAAAUGCUUASAUAUCACGAAGAACUCCGAUUGCGAAGGCAGCUCACUGGACUGCAACUGACACUGAUGCUCGAAAGUGUGAGUAUCACACAGUAA